GACGAACGCUGGCGGCGUGCUUAACACAUGCAAGUCGAGCGGUAAGGCCCUUUCGGGGGUACACGAGCGGCGAACGGGUGAGUAACACGUGGGUGACCUGCCCUCAGCUCUGGGAUAAGCCUGGGAAACCGGGUCUAAUACCGGAUAUGACUCCAUGACGCAUGUUGUGGGGUGGAAAGCCUUGUGCGGCUGAGGAUGGGCCCGCGGCCUAUCAGCUUGUUGGUGGGGUGANGGCCUACCAAGGCGACGACGGGUAGCCGGCCUGAGAGGGCGACCGGCCACACUGGGACUGAGACACGGCCCAGACUCCUACGGGAGGCAGCAGUGGGGAAUCUUGCGCAAUGGGCGAAAGCCUGACNCAGCGACGCCGCGUGAGGGAUGACGGCC
This 387-nucleotide ribosomal RNA is filed under the name uncultured bacterium. RNAcentral describes it as "bacterial SSU rRNA". It matches the Rfam family "Bacterial small subunit ribosomal RNA", at positions 28 to 416 of the family's 1533-position model. The record is from RNAcentral.